This is a long non-coding RNA of Cephus cinctus (wheat stem sawfly), 3675 nucleotides long. RefSeq lists it as uncharacterized. The record is from RefSeq and is a predicted model, not a curated record. The transcript has 3 exons. Lineage: Eukaryota; Metazoa; Arthropoda; Insecta; Hymenoptera; Cephidae.
GGCCUUCAUGGUGGUCUGACUUAAUUCUUCGGGGUUAUACAGUUGUGAAUAUUGUGUCUGUGGAUAAACUACGGAGUCUAGAUUAUUUUCUCAUCCGCUUACUGUGCUGCGUACAACUGAUGGGACGCGCACCUCUCGUGCACACUCGCUACGAAGGAAGCUGUUGCGGCUGAUUGAGCGUGCAGAUAAGGGAAUGACCAUCCGGACAUUAUGCAGCAGGCUGCAGCGCGGAGAAGAGUCGUCGAGAUGAAGCCGGUCAUAAAAGAUGUCGCCCCAUUCGCAGUACGGAAAAUACGUUGGCCAUUUCGAGGCAUCUGAUUGGGGCUUAAUGGACGUUAGAAGGACGGAUUAAAAAUUACUGAGGUCAAGACUCAGGUCAGUCUAUAUCAUUUACAUGGAACGACUUCCGCCACAGAUACGCGUACGUCGUCUUUUUUACAGCUCGGAAGGUUCCAUCUCUGGCGUACUGACUGAACUUGCAAUUUGGUCGCAUACCAACCGCAUGGUUAGUUCGUGUAGAAGAAAAUAACUAACCACGGAUACCAACCUUAACGAAUAACUUUACCUAGAGCCACUAUCUCUUAGGUACAUCGACGAUCUUCAAUGGGUUUUAAACAUUGAAGAAUUCAACUUUGACCUCGAAUUAUUAAUAGCCAACUGUAGGAUAUCUGCUAUAGGUGUAUCUCCUGUUGUAUUACUAUAUAUUAAUUUCUGUACCGGAGCCCGAUUGCCAACCUAAGAAAAACUCGUUCGCGUGAUGGCCGAAAAGUCGCGUGAAUCCUGGACAUAAAUUUCAUGCAGCGAAAUUUAUUCCCACCCACGGCUGCUUUUUUCUAAUUGAUCCUUUCCCGCUGGUGAAAGGAUCGAACCGGCCCUGCGAUGACCCGCGGGCAGCCGUCGCUUCGUUACGACCGGCUGCGGCUUCGAGUCUGACUCGGCUGCCUGUCUGCCUGCUUGCGUCUUGUGCGGCUUGAAAUACCUUAAUAAAUUAUUUAUAAAGAGAAAGAUUUAUUUGCACUAAGUGGCGCGGCUACGAGGGCCAGGAGCCUCUUAUUAUGCCAAGACACACAGGGCCAAGCACGAUCUAUAGAUACUGGUAGAUGUAUACGAUAUUCAUAUACACGAAGGCAAAGAUAUACUGUCAAGUUAAUAGAAAUAAUAAAAAAUUUCUAACGAUUCGUAACAGUCAUAAAAUCUGUCACCGUUAAAUGAUAUAAGAUAAAAAUAUUAUAAUUAUUAUUUUAAUGCAUUAUUAAUAAUUAAUAUAAUAAUAAUUAAUAAUUUUUUAUUUAUCAGGAGUCGUAUGUCAAAAUUGUAUGCAUAAAGGAACUGCCUGAAGUUGCUUCUAUUUUAUCGAAUGAAUCGAUCCACUAUCGAUUUAAUUGAUUAUUCAAUUCUUUCAUAUUUUUUUACCGAGGCUCGGAGUGAUGGACACUACCGAUAAAGGGUAGUCGUGGAGUGUCAUGUGUGCCUGCCUAGUCUCGUCCUGACGUCAUUCCGAUUUCUGCUCGUGACUUAUCACGCCGGCUGAUUGAACGACGGACGCAUCGCUUCGGCGUUUAUUUGCUUUUCGGUAGAUGAAGGUUGACAUCAACCGGCACGCCGCGGUGUCGGCUGGCACAGCCAAGGCUCGUAAUUAAAGGACAGAACACGAGGCAUGUUACCGUGCCUUAUAGUAUGGCGUAGGGACGCCGUGCGAGCUUGGCCAACAAAUGAUUAACAAGCGAGAUAAAAAACAGGACACGAUGUUAAUGCGGCGUAACGAGCUGAGACCUCGUCGUGUCAGAUCCGCGGCAGGGACGUUGUAAUUCCUGAGGAAUCUUUGUCGGAUUGCACCAUUUUCUUUUUUUUCGAAAAAAAAAUUAUUCAUUCAAAAAAAUUGUUUAAAACUGUGAAUGGCAUUUUUCCUUUAUUAAUAUAUAUGAUACAGAUUUAUGAGACCUACGUCUGUAUACGUAUAGUCCACAAGCGUCAAAAGUCUAAAUUAUUUUCGGAAGAAUCUUUCGUUCCAUUGCAUUUUUCAGUGACGCUCAAAAUACUCCGAGCGUUGUUAUCGCGGUGUCACUCUAGUUAGCUGGGAACACGGCAACCGAGUGACAGUGAUGUAUCACUGCACUUUGUCGCCCCGUUGCGCAUGAAUGCUAAUCAACGUUAAAGCACGGGACACGCGCGCUGACUUAUAUCGAAAUGGCACACUUCGUGUUGGGGUUUGACUCUGGUGACCUUUAACGGGAUAAUUCGAUCACGACUCUAGACAGAAAUCAGGCAUUGUUUAUGGCGAUACGUAGGUCCGGACAUUGUCUAUGCGUUUUGAAUUCUCAAUGAAUUUCUUGGCAGCGACAGUCAUGACGGUUUACGAAAUAGUGGAAUCCGGACGUCGCCAUGGGAAUUCAAUGUUAUUUGUCACCGUUUGCGUGAUUAACGAGUGAAAUACCGAGAAGUCUUUGGAACCUGCCUUUAAACUUAGCCACCGGUACUAAACUAUUUUCGUGGAAUUCCUGAAUAGUCGAGGGAAAAAAAAAAGUGACAAGGAAUCUGAUUAAUUCGCUGCUCAAAAUACUAUGGGAUUGUGGGUAAUUAAUUUUUGCUAUAUCCAAUAGGUGAGAAAAAAUGUAUAAAAUUGUUGUAAAAAUUUUCAAAUAAUUUUAAAUGUCUCGAAAAAUAUUUUUAAUUUUUUGACCUCUUCACGACGCCUCGCGUCCCGACGUCUUUACUGUCGGCGAACUGCCUCACCUACCCUACUUUAACCUACGUUCUUCAGGAAACGUCCCAUAAUUUACAGUGUGUCGCUGCUACGGUGUGUUAAUCGAGUAACACGCCGCUAACGGGGCGAACAUGUUUAGUCUGCAACCCCAACCAGCAACCCUUGAAGCUCCGUGUAAACUCCCUUAGAGCCAGCCCUGGAAGUACAAGCUCUCCUCAUAUUUCCCGCUAAUUGCCGGCAUCUAAUCUCCCGGAGCCACCAAGAAGGGUGCACCACCUCGCAUCCCUUAUCGGGGUUAAAGUUGUCGUGGGCAUCUCAGCCCUAUUCCCUUUUCGUUAACCCUUUAGGAACCCCUAAAGAAGUAGCUAACACUUUGCCAACCUGUGGUUAAGCCAAUGAUUCCUAUACCCGUAUAUAUAAGAAAAAAAAUUAAAAUAUUAAUCAAAGAAAAAAAGCACUGUACAAUCCCAAUCGAAAUUUUUCACUGUCCCAUUAACGUAUAAUAUUAUCAUUAUACCGGACAAGCUACUGGUACAUGAAAGUGGCAAUUUCAAGAGAUGAAAGGGAACAGCGAAAGAGUAACGACGGGUAUUGGUAUCUCAGCGGGAGUAUAGUUAUUUCUAACGACUGCCAUUGGCGCAUUAUUAGGAGGCAUAAAAUCUGUCGCGCGUCGCGGCACGUCCUUUGGAAAAAAUGACAAACGCUCGAAACCUGCGAGAAUGGGAGGGUGGUCAGAGGGUGAAGGGAGACCGGAGUCGCAGGGUCACGGGCGAGAAUAGCUUCGAUGGCUUCGUAAAGAGACUGAGAAAGAGAGAAAGAGGAGACGGAGUCACCUACUCUCUCAACAAGAUAAGAAUAUCGUAGAUUUAGAACGCUUGCUCCCGCUGAGCUGUCACGACAGAGUGAGUUAGAAGACACCGCCACCACGUGGAAUGAUUACUUACGUGCCAUUUAACAACUGAAAUCCCAAG